AAAGAGAACUCCAAAUAACAACACAAGCUUAGCUUUUGCUUUAGAAGUUUCUAGAAUUUAGUUGAUGCUAUUGGAGCUAUCAUGAACUGAUACAGUCCCCGUGGGGAGUGACUGUAUGAGCUCGAACUGGACUUGGACAUUUCUCCAGCCCUCUGUGGUUCCAGUUGAGAAGUAAGUGCUCUUCAUUCAUUCUCAGUAACCAGGAGGAAAAGGUAAAUCAGCGUGACUUAGAAUGAUCGUUCCCUCUGUCUAUCCCCACAAGCAGUUCCCUGUGCGUUUAAAGCAGUGGGUUUUUCAGAAUGUAAAGAUCUGGGGGUCGCUCCCUGGCCAGUCGCGCAUAUUCAAUAUCUGCUCGUCCUUUCCCUCCCCUUCCAGAGACCAAUGUCACCUGUCUGUCCUUUUCUGGUGCCUGGCCCUUGCUGGGGUCACCCACAUCCCCUCCCGUGAGCUGCUGUGUCUCGUAUCCCUCCUGUCCUGCCGCUCUCGCUCUUGCUCCUAGGCCGCCUUCUCCCUCAUGCAUCCAGCUACUUGGUUUGAAACUCUCCCCUGGCGCCUGCUCUGUGGGGAAAGCCGGGCUUCCUCUGAUUCCGGAUGGAGUGUUUAAAUGAGAUGUCCACACAACCCCCAAGGACCCUCUGAUUCCAACGGAAUUGGAGCCUACGCCUGCCAGACCCCCAGGCCUGAGCGCCAGCCCUUCACUGAUCAGCUAGCCUCUGCCUGCAAGUCUAAGGUCUGCAGAAUCGAGGGAGGCCAGCAUGGCACACAGCGGUCCAGACUCGCAGUGACAAGGUGGCUGCAGUGCAUGGAGGGCCACCGGAGGCUGGCACUGGUGUCUCCUGCACACAACGCAGGGAGGGUGAGGAUGGGGUCCAUGCACCUGCCAGGGUGGGGAUGGACAAGACCCCUCCAGCAGGGCCAGGCAGGCUGGGCAGCCCUCUGUCCCUCAAAGUCCACCCGCCCAUGACAGCUAAGAUUAAAGUGACUGCUGCGUUGAAGAAGGAGGGAGGCAGAGAGACAGCAGCCAGCAGCUCCAAAGGGGAUCCCAGGCAAGUGAUGAGCAGUGGGGAAACCCUCUCUCCAGUCAGCUUGUCAUGUCAUACAGGCUUUCCUGACCUCAGCAAUGCGGAUAUGAGGGGCAGGAAUACACUCUGGGGUGGGGCCGUCCUGGGCACCGCAGGGUGCUGGGCAGCAUCCCUGGCCUCCACCCACUCCAUGCCAGGAAACCCCCCGACCCCUGUCUGACAGCCACAAAUGUCUCCAGACAUCGCCCAGUGUCCCCUGGGGGCAGGACCACCCCCAUGGAGAACCACACGUCUAAGGCCACACCUUUACUCCACACAGCAUUUCCAGAUUCACCAAACCACUCUCCGUGCUUGUCCCCUCAGAUUACUUCAUGUCAUGCAGCUGUUCACAUCUGGCUUCUUGGCCAGCCAGCCCUUCUUGAGAAAACAAAGUCUGGAUCUAUGUCAUCUCAGCAGCCCCCUCACAGAUCCCUCACCCCAACCCCAGACCCUACGUAGCACAUUGCCUGCAAAGAUGCUCAAGACGUGUUUUGCAAUGAACAAGAGAAUGAGCAGCCCGCCUGCUCCGGGCUGCUCACCUGUUCUAGCCACCUUCACCAUGUUGGCCUCCAGCUCCCGUCUUCAGCUGAGCACAGGGGCCUGUCCCAGGAUUCUUGGAAGCGGCUUCCUAAGGCAUCAUGCUUUUGUGUUCUCCUUCUCUUACCAGCCUUUCUUUCCCUCUCACGUUUCUCUCCCUUUCUGACCAUGAGCAGGGCUGCAGUGCAGCUGCUGAUGGUCAAGAUGAAGAUGGGGAAUGUGCCAGUGAAAACCUGGCAUGCGGAGGCCUCACCUCACUCACCCUCUCCUGUCCCAGCUUCAAAAUCUUUCAGAGCGACUCAUGCUGCCAGAGGGUGGAGGAGUGGACCUUGAAAUGACAAGUGACAGUUCCUCAGCAGUAGCAUCUCCUGCUUUCUCAGCCUGGUGACCUGACCCGGCAGCACGCCCACUGGGCACCUGUGCCCACCUGGGGAUGGGGUCUCGUCCUGCCUGUGUGACCCUUCCUCCUGACAGCCAUCUCUAGAGACAGCCAGUGAGGGCAGGGCAACAGGCAGUGCAUGUUCUUUCCACAUCUCCAUGACUGAUUCUGGCCAGGAGGAGGCUGGCUUUCUGGAUCCCACCAACAUCACAUAGGGGACCUUUUCAAUCUACCUCCUACCUCCCCUCCAGUCGUGAUUUGAUUCUGGAAUUUAAGAAGCGGAGAAAGAGCCUAGUUCAAAUUCAAGAAUUUCCAUCUAAAACCACAGCAUGGAGAGGCCCCUUUAAAAACCACCUAACCCAGCUCUUUCAUCAAACAGAUGAAGAAACUUACCUAAAGAUGUUAAGUGGUUUGCCCAAAUUGCAAAGCCUGAUAUAUGGGAAAAUACUUCCAUGGGAAAUAAGAAAAUGAUAAAUUUAAAAAAAAUUUUAAAUGAGGCUCUAAUUCCUGAAAAAUGACUUACUUAAACUGGGGACUGGGCAGAAAAUAAUAUUGUAGAAGGUAGAACAGCAUUUCUUUGGGAGGAUUUAUCUUUUUAAGUAUAUAGUGGUCUUCUACCACUAUCCUACAACAGGUUGCAGGACAAAUAAUGUAUUUUAAUCUUUGGGGGAGUCUUUGUGUAAGUCAGACCUUAUUCAUUUUCAUUCCAACAACACUCGCAGCCAUUGGAUCCUAAUUAUCACAUCUAAUAAGGCUGAUGGCUAAUCAGCUUGCCUUUUUAAGAAAAAAAGGCCGGGCACGGUGGCUUAUGCCUGUAAUCCCAGCACUUUGGGAGGCCGAGGCAGGUGGAUCAUGAGGUCAGAAGAUCGAGACCAUCCUGGCUAACACGGUGAAACCCCGUCUCUACUACAAAUACAAAAAAAUUAGCCGGGUGCGGUGGCGGGCGCCUGUAGUCCCAGCUACUCGGGAGGCUGAGGCGGAAGAAUGGCGUGAACCCGGGAGGCGGAGCUUCCUGGGCGACAGAACGAGACUCUGUCUCCAAAAAAAACACAAAUGACAUUCCAUUAUAAGUUUCUGCUGCAAAAGAAAGUUGGGAAAUUUGUUUAGAUACUUUAAAUAGUCCUAAGAUUAGCUGAAAUGCCGGUAACAAACGUGCAAUGAACAUUUUCUUGGGGGCAUUCAGCAACAAAGUGAAUCGUCCUUAAAAAAAAUCCAUACAACUAAAGCGAGUCUCACCACGGGAACCACAGGAGCUGUUUUAGUGAGGGGCUGGAGUGUCUGUUACAGGCGGCACUUUUGCGGCUGUUGCUGCAUUAGUCAGAUUGCACUCGAGAUGAAUGAGGAAGAAUAAAGUCUUCACCAAAAACCUGUCUUGGCUAACAGUUCUGAAUUUAUAGCCCUGGCAGUGGGGGCGGGGGCUGGGGGCGGGGCUGGGAGGAGGGGAAGAAAUGUGUCACCCGCUCUGAAUGAAGUUCAGGGGUGGUGUUUACCUAAGCAACAAACCCUUGUCAACAAUCGCUAUCUCUGGCUUGCCAGCGGAGGAGGUGGGGGAGUGAGGCUGUUUUGAUCAAAAUCCAACCUGUGGCUGCAAAGUGCCCAUCAACAGGGCACUUUGUUAGUGGGAACGUGCGACCUCUCUUAAUAAACAUAACAUACACAUCCCACUGAGGGCCACGGGUGGACCCAACUUCUUAACAGGAACAUUGAGCACAUGAAACCAGAAGGUGCUGGGUCCAAUUUCCACCCUCAGCCAACCCUAUCUGUGAAUGUCUCUACAUGUGAGCCAGCCAGGGCUCAACUCUUUGCUCUUCUGAAAUUCUUAGGCAGCAGAAAUGAAGGCAUCGUGCUGAAAAGCGCUCCAGAAAUUGCGGAUUUAUCAGUGAUGUACGGUAGUAGGUUGGACAAGUAAUGAUUUUCUGAACACCAGGAAUUAGAUCAAAAAAGAAAUUCCACUUAAGACUAAAAUAAGUCUCCAGUUGAGAGCAGUCUAGGACAUAUUCGAAUGGCCAGAAGUUUGUUUCAAUGGGGCCUCUGCGUUUGUGCAGCCUGGGAGUCAACAUUACAAUAUUGGUUCUUUCAAGCAGAUCCCGAGUGGAUCCAUGUCUGCCUGUUGUGGCAAAUCAAACUCAAAUUUAAUCAGAGAAAAAUAUAUGCAGAUGUUCAAUUAAAACCUGGAGUCCGCAGUCUUGGCACUGUUUGCCCGGCCCUCAUUGUUUGCUAAGUAACAACGGUUGCCAGGGGCAACGCAGUCCACUCCCGUUUCCAAGAGCCUGUUGCUGGGCAACCGGGAGAAUACUUCCCAAACCAAACAAUGUCAUCCCGGAGCAACCCCCUCUAUCUCACAUUAACCAGAUCUAAAAAAAACCCUCUCAAAUAUGUAAUCUAUUAUUUUCAGAAGCCCUAAGAGAAAGGCAAAUAAUCUCUUCUCUAUAGUAACUGAGGGGAAAACAGUUUACCAUAUUUGUUCUGAAAUAACAAAACCCAAGGAGGAACAACUCUCUCUGAGGUAAGAGGGCAUCACAGGAGGGAUUUCAAUCCUUCCUAGUACUGGGAGGAGAAAGUGCCCUUUUCUCCAAGAGGAAAGAAUCUAUUUAUCAUCAAACAAACAAUGUGGGAGAGUUCAUAGCUGCACAAGUGUUUUCUGGGCGAAGUAAAAUGAAUCAUGGAUUAAGCUAUUUGGAAAAAAGUGUGAAAACAGAGGAGUUGAUACCAAAUUAAAACGACUUUUGGAAAUAUCAUGUACGUAUGGAACAAGUGCAAAGGGAACCACUGACUCAGCGUCAGAAAUGCCUUGUGGGGCUUUGCCGGGAGGGACUUACAGUAUAUCUUUGACAUCACUGCGCCGGCUCUUCCCUCCCUACCCGGAGAGAGGAAGACUUUUCUAAGAGGAAGCCAGGCCACAUCAGAUGCCCCCAGAUGGCAGGACACACAAGGGACACAUAUCUCCGGAAAGAGGAGGCACAUGGUUGGGCAAUCUCGACCCAUGAAGGGGGAAAAGAAAAGGGCUAAACUGAAGCUAGUGCAGCUUUUGUUCUGCCUGGAGCAGUUCAGGCUGAGCAUGGCUUCUCUGAGGCUUUGGGACCAGGAGAGGGUGAAGUGGCACCACCACCUUUCAAGGGGAACACAGAGCUCUAAGCAGUGCUCUUGUUUUUGGUGGGCCCAGCCAAGGAUCUUAAAACAUUUUGAUAGAAUGAGCAACAUGUAGCUGCAGCCUCGAUGGGUCAACAUUUUGGAUGAUAAAAGCACACAAUGCUGAUAGAUUUGUGCAUGACCAAGCAUACCUUUCAAGGAGCUCUCAGCGGAGGUUUGCCCUUUGAGACAGACACAGUCAGUGCACAGAAACUGUUUUUUUAAGAUAUCAUCCAGGAGUCAUUCCUAGAAUAGGAAUGGAAUAGACAUGCCUCCCUGAGAAGAAAGGAAGACAGAUUCUAUACUGUUAGAAUUUGAAUCUGUGUUGCAGGGAGAUGAGGAAUUUGAAGCCAGACUCUUGGGCUGUUAAUGUAUGGCUAAGUGGUGAUGUGGUGACAACCUUGAAUGCUAGUCCUGGAGGUCAAAUCACCAGCAGCUGGUGCCAUGGGAGGCUUUGCUUAGGGGACACGGCUGGGUUCUGCCUGGAUGCUGCAUCCCAAGGGAGGCAUUGAGGUGCGGCUGUGAGGACUCCAAACCCCAUGUCCAGAAGGAUGAGUAACAGAGAUCCUGUGUCAUUCAUUGAUUUCAAUAAAAUAUUUAUUGGAUCCAUAGCAUGGGCCUGGCAUUGACCAGUCAUCAAAACACAAUUCCCUGCCCUCAUGGAGUUUCUAUUCUAGACCAUGCGGGAGGAUAGGAGCAUAUGGACAGUAAACAAGGUAAGUGAGAAAAAUAUGUCGUACGUCAGAUGACACCCUAUAUCAUAUGGUGACAAGUACCAGGGGGAAAAGGAAGCAGACAGAAGGAGUGCUGGGAUAGGAAGGGGUUGCAAUUUUUAAAGCGUUGUCAAAUGCUUCCCUGGGUGGGCUCAUUAAAGAGAUGAGGAAGGUGUGGGACGGAGCUGUCCAGAUAUCCUGGGGAAGAGCGUUCCUAAUGGAGGGAAAAGCCAGUACAAAGGCCCCGAGGUGGGACAAUGCCUGGCUUGAAACUGGAGCUGAGUGAACCAGAAGGCAAGGAGAAAGGCCCACACAGGCCAUUGUAGGGGCUCUGGCUUUUGCUUGGGGUAAAUGGAAGCCAUCACAAGGUUUGAGCCCAGGAAUGGCCUGGUUUGACUUGCAUUUUAACCAGGCCCCUCUGGCUGCUGGGUUGAGAAUAGGGGAAGAAGGAAAAGGGUGGGAGCAGAGAGAGCAAUCUGGAGGCUAAUGUGAUAAUCUGGGCAAGGGAGGGGGGCCUGGCUGUGAGCCAUGGAGGGGCAAAGCCGUCAGACUCUGGAUAAACAUAGGAGGUAGAGUCAGCCAGAUCUGCUGACGGGUCAAGGGUACCUCCAAGGUUUUUGGCAACUAAAAGGAUGAGGUCAGGAAAAUUACCCAAGAAAAAGGCCUGGAGAGCACUUGGGAGUUGAGUUCUGAAGGUGUAAAGUGUGAGAGGCUCCUAGACACCCAGGUUGAGAUGCUGAGAAAGCAGGCAGAUUACAUAAGUCUCAGGCUGAGGGGUGAGCUGGAGCCAUCAGUGUAUAGAGAAUGCAGGCUGGAGCCAUCAGUGUAUAGAAUAUAUGAACUAGAGCCAUCAAUGUAUAGAUAACAUAGCUGGAACCAUCAGUGUGUAGGGGACAUGACCUAGAGCCACCAGUGUCUAGAGGAUGUGGGCUGAAGCCAUCAGUGUAUAGAGAACAUGGGAUGGGGCCAUCAGUGUAUAGAUGACAUGGCUGGAGCCAUCAGUGUAUAGAGAACAUGAGCUAGAGCCACCAGUGUAUACAGGAUGUAGGCUGGAGUCAUCAGUGUAUAAAUGACCUAGUUAAAACCAUAAGACUAUCUGGGCUCACCAAGGAAGAGCAGAGAGAAGAGGCCUAGGGCUGAGUUCUGGGGCUGUCUACCAUUUAGAGAUCCCAAAGAAGCAGGAGCCUGAAAAGAGGCCAAAGAAGUAUAAGCAAGUGGUGUCCUGAGAACCAAGUGACUCUGGGGCUGAGUGGUGAUCACUGGAAUCAGCAAAGUGGAGGUCACCAGUGAUUGUGACAGAGGAGCUCCAGGGGAAAAGUGUGUGCAAAAGCCACAGAGGUUGGAGCAGGUUCAAGAGAGCCCCAAGUGGAGCAGAACUGGAGACAGGAGGACCAGAUGGCUCUUUUGAGGAAUUUUUGCUAGAAAGAUAGGAAGAGGAAUGGGGAGGCAGCUGGAAGAGGAAACUGAGAGCGGGUUUCUGAAAAUGAAAGAAAUAAUAGCAGGUAGGACCUACCAGGAGGGAACUGGGAUAGGAGAAAGAAGGGAGACUUGCAAGUGGAUGUUCUUUCAUGGAUGGGAUGGGAUGGGAUGUGGAUGGGAUGGGAUGGGAUGUGGAUAGGAUGGGAUGGGAUGGGAUGGGAUGGGAUGGGAUGGGAUGUGGAUGGGAUGGGAUGGGAUGUGGAUGGGAUGGGAUGGGAUGGGAUGGGAUGGGAUGUGGAUGGGAUGGGAUGGGAUGUGGAUGGGAUGGGAUGUGAAUGGGAUGGGAUGGGAUGGGAUGGGAUGUGGAUGGGAUGGGAUGGGAUGGGAUGGGAUGGGAUGGGAUGGGAUGUGGAUGGGAUGGAAUGGGAUGUCCUGCAGAACACAGGUGGGCUUGGCCAGGGCUAGGUGCAUGGAUAUGCAUCCACCAGUACAGGAGAGAAGACAGAGUGUCCACCCUGGAAGGUGACACCAAGUCAUAGUCCUUCUGGAGGGGGGUCCUGGUCCCCAGUCCCAUUCUUCAUCCAUGGAAUCCCUGUGUUUACUCCUCGCCAGCCUCAAUAGCUGGCUGCUGGGGGCCUCCACUCUCAGCAGGGUGGACGGGCUUGAAGCCACACGAUAGGGCCUGGGUAUAAAGUAUGAUGACCUAGGUCCACAGACCUCACAUCAGAGCCUCCAGCAGACCCUGGGUUCAUAGUCACAUAUGGGCUCCAUGUGACCAAUACUUGCCCCCACCCCAUGGUCCCACCUCAAUGCCUGACAGAAGCCCCACUCCUCAGGUUUAUGCACAUGAUUUGCCUUUUUCACUGCUUUCUUUUUCUUUUCUAGACACAGGGUCUUGCUCUGUCACCCAGGCUGGAGUACAGUGGUUGGAUCAUAGCUCACUGCAGCCUCAAACUCCUGGGCCCUCAGCCCAGUGAUUGUCCUGCCUUAGCCUCCCAUGUAGCUAGGACUACAGGUGCACACCACCACGCCUGGCUACUUAAAACAAACAAACAAACAAAUUGUAGUAGCAAGGUCCUACUAUGUUGUCCAGGCUGGUCCUGAACUCUUGGCCUCAAGCAGUCUUCCCACCUCAGCCUCCCAAAGUGUGGGACUGCAGGCGUGAGCCCCCGUGCCUGGCCCUCACUGCUUUCCUUAUGGUUACUCCAUACCUCUUUUCAAAUUUGCCAAAUGGCUAAUCUUUCCACACUCGAGUAUUAUUAGAAAUGAGUUUUAAUAUACCUAUUUUUCUUGCUAUGUCAACGUACAAACAUGCAUCCUUAAAUAAGAAAGUGUUAGAGUCACAUAUUAAAAAUGCAUUUCUUGCUAAGUCAUGCUCGAAUUAUGCAAGAUUGCAAGGAAAUUUAAUGCAAGACAAAUGAGUGAGGCCAGGAAUCUUGCUGUGAGAGUUUGGGAAGCAGAGCUCCCUGGCUCCAGACAAGGAAUGGACUCAGCCUGACGGGAGGAGGUCUCGCCUGUCUUUGGGAGGGAAAGAUCCUGUCGGUACUUUUAAGUGAUCGUCUAUCUUUGAGGCACAGACAUAUCUCAAUUGGCCCGGGACAGAAAAUCAAGCCAAGUCAGAGAUCCCCUCAGCAAGACCCAGGGAUCUCUGAAGAAAUGAAAAUGAAGCGAAGAAAGACAAAAUUAGAAAUAUUUAUUCCAUCCGUCAUCUCUUUGCUUGUCUCAAAUGC
This 8968-nucleotide long non-coding RNA is filed under the name Homo sapiens (human). RNAcentral describes it as "non-protein coding lnc-ACSBG2-2:3". The record is from RNAcentral. Lineage: Eukaryota; Metazoa; Chordata; Mammalia; Primates; Hominidae.